This 498-nucleotide ribosomal RNA is filed under the name uncultured bacterium. RNAcentral describes it as "partial 16S ribosomal RNA". It matches the Rfam family "Bacterial small subunit ribosomal RNA", at positions 29 to 523 of the family's 1533-position model. The record is from RNAcentral.
AUUGAACGCCGGCGGCAUGCCUUACACAUGCAAGUCGAACGGUAACGCGGGGCAACCUGGCGACGAGUGGCGAACGGGUGAGUAAUGCAUCGGAACGUGCCCAGUAGUGGGGGAUAGCCCGGCGAAAGCCGGAUUAAUACCGCAUACGACCUUCGGGUGAAAGGGGGGGAUCGCAAGACCUCUCGCUAUUGGAGCGGCCGAUGUCAGAUUAGGUAGUUGGUGGGGUAAAAGCCUACCAAGCCGACGAUCUGUAGCUGGUCUGAGAGGACGACCAGCCACACUGGGACUGAGACACGGCCCAGACUCCUACGGGAGGCAGCAGUGGGGAAUUUUGGACAAUGGGCGCAAGCCUGAUCCAGCCAUGCCGCGUGCGGGAAGAAGGCCUUCGGGUUGUAAACCGCUUUUGUCAGGGAAGAAACGCUUCGAGCUAAUACCUCGGAGUAAUGACGGUACCUGAAGAAUAAGCACCGGCUAACUACGUGCCAGCAGCCGCCGUAA